This 434-nucleotide ribosomal RNA is filed under the name uncultured bacterium. Its description in RNAcentral is "bacterial SSU rRNA". It matches the Rfam family "Bacterial small subunit ribosomal RNA", at positions 29 to 507 of the family's 1533-position model. The record is from RNAcentral.
AACGAACGCUGGCGGCAUGCCUAACACAUGCAAGUCGAACGAAGGCUUCGGCCUUAGUGGCGCACGGGUGCGUAACGCGUGGGAAUCUGCCCUUGGGUUCGGAAUAACUCAGAGAAAUUUGAGCUAAUACCGGAUGAUGACGUAAGUCCAAAGAUUUAUCGCCCAAGGAUGAGCCCGCGUAGGAUUAGCUUGUUGGUGAGGUAAAGGCUCACCAAGGCGACGAUCCUUAGCUGGUCUGAGAGGAUGAUCAUCCACACUGGGACUGAGACACGGCCCAGACUCCUACGGGAGGCAGCAGUGGGGAAUAUUGGACAAUGGGCGAAAGCCUGAUCCAGCAAUGCCGCGUGAGUGAUGAAGGCCUUAGGGUUGUAAAGCUCUUUUACCCGGGAUGAUAAUGACAGUACCGGGAGGAAUAAGCUCCGGCUAACUCCGUG